RNAcentral lists this ribosomal RNA (465 nucleotides) under Rothia dentocariosa. RNAcentral describes it as "bacterial SSU rRNA". It matches the Rfam family "Bacterial small subunit ribosomal RNA", at positions 28 to 503 of the family's 1533-position model. The record is from RNAcentral. Lineage: Bacteria; Bacillati; Actinomycetota; Actinomycetes; Micrococcales; Micrococcaceae.
GACGAACGCUGCGGCGUGCUUAACACAUGCAAGUCGAACGAUGAAGCCUAGCUUGCUAGGUGGAUUAGUGGCGAACGGGUGAGUAAUACGUGAGUGACCUACCUUUGACUCUGGGAUAAGCCUGGGAAACUGGGUCUAAUACCGGAUACGACCAAUCUCCGCAUGGGGUGUUGGUGGAAAGCGUUAUGGAGUGGUUUUAGAUGGGCUCACGGCCUAUCAGCUUGUUGGUGAGGUAAUGGCUUACCAAGGCGACGACGGGUAGCCGGCCUGAGAGGGUGACCGGCCACACUGGGACUGAGACACGGCCCAGACUCCUACGGGAGGCAGCAGUGGGGAAUAUUGCACAAUGGGCGCAAGCCUGAUGCAGCGACGCCGCGUGAGGGAUGACGGCUUCGGGUUGUAAACCUCUGUUAGCAUCGAAGAAGCGAAAGUGACGGUAGGUGCAGAGAAAGCGCCGGCUAAUAC